UACGUAGGGUGCAAGCGUUACUCGGACUUACUGGGCGUAAAGCGUGCGCAGGCGGCUUUGCAAGACAGAUGUGAAAUCCCCGGGCUCAACCUGGGAACUGCAUUUGUGACUGCAUGGCUAGAGUGCGGCAGAGGGGGAUGGAAUUCCGCGUGUAGCAGUGAAAUGCGUAGAUAUGCGGAGGAACACCGAUGGCGAAGGCAAUCCCCUGGGCCGGCACUGACGCUCAUGCACGAAAGCGUGGGGAGCAAACAGG
RNAcentral lists this ribosomal RNA (253 nucleotides) under uncultured bacterium. RNAcentral's name for it is "partial 16S ribosomal RNA". It matches the Rfam family "Bacterial small subunit ribosomal RNA", at positions 524 to 776 of the family's 1533-position model. The record is from RNAcentral.